This 643-nucleotide ribosomal RNA is filed under the name uncultured bacterium. RNAcentral describes it as "bacterial SSU rRNA". It matches the Rfam family "Bacterial small subunit ribosomal RNA", at positions 232 to 885 of the family's 1533-position model. The record is from RNAcentral.
CGCGGCCUAUCAGCUUGUUGGUGAGGUAAUGGCUCACCAAGGCGACGACGGGUAGCCGGCCUGAGAGGGUGACCGGCCACACUGGGGCUGAGACACGGCCCAGACUCCUACGGGAGGCAGCAGUGGGGAAUAUUGCACAAUGGGCGAAAGCCUGAUGCAGCGACGCCGCGUGAGGGAUGACGGCCUUCGGGUUGUAAACCUCUUUCAGUAGGGAAGAAGCGAAAGUGACGGUACCUGCAGAAGAAGCACCGGCUAACUACGUGCCAGCAGCCGCGGUAAUACGUAGGGUGCGAGCGUUAUCCGGAAUUAUUGGGCGUAAAGAGCUCGUAGGCGGUUUGUCGCGUCUGUCGUGAAAGUCCGGGGCUUAACCCCGGAUCUGCGGUGGGUACGGGCAGACUAGAGUGCAGUAGGGGAGACUGGAAUUCCUGGUGUAGCGGUGGGAUGCGCAGAUAUCAGGAGGAACACCGAUGGCGAAGGCAGGUCUCUGGGCUGUAACUGACGCUGAGGAGCGAAAGCAUGGGGAGCGAACAGGAUUAGAUACCCUGGUAGUCCAUGCCGUAAACGUUGGGCACUAGGUGUGGGGACCAUUCCACGGUUUCCGCGCCGCAGCUAACGCAUUAAGUGCCCCGCCUGGGGAGUACGG